GGCUUUAAAUCAAAACUAUUCAUUGGCACCUGUCACCCUAUUGAUUGCCAGGGUUCAUUGGGCUUAUCUGGUAAGGUGGGUAUCCUCUUCCUCCCUCAUUGCACCAUGUGGGUCUCUCCGAAAGCUGCACACUUGCUAGAAGAGGAUGGCUGUCCCAGACAGGAGGGGUNCCUUGUUCUCAGGGAGUGGCUAAGAGCAAAGUGGUAGAGCAAAGGGCCUGGGAAGCUGACGGCUGCCAGUUUGAUCCCCAGCCUCUCCCUGGAAAUAGAUAAGGGCAAAGCCCUUCUGU
Molecule: small nuclear RNA, 289 nt
Filed under: Salvator merianae (Argentine black and white tegu)
Lineage: Eukaryota; Metazoa; Chordata; Lepidosauria; Squamata; Teiidae
Description: 7SK RNA (ENSSMRG00000018109.1)
Rfam family: 7SK RNA (bases 1-185)
About the family: 7SK was discovered as an abundant small nuclear RNA in the mid-70s but a possible function has only recently been suggested. Two independent studies have found that 7SK RNA binds the CDK9/cyclin T complex (known as elongation factor P-TEFb). P-TEFb activates transcription by phosphorylating the C-terminal domain of RNA polymerase II.
Source: RNAcentral